RNAcentral lists this ribosomal RNA (497 nucleotides) under uncultured bacterium. RNAcentral's name for it is "partial 16S ribosomal RNA". It matches the Rfam family "Bacterial small subunit ribosomal RNA", at positions 28 to 507 of the family's 1533-position model. The record is from RNAcentral.
GAUGAACGCUGGCGGCGUGCUUAACACAUGCAAGUCGAGCGAACAGACCAGGAGCUUCCGCCGCUGACGUUAUCGCCGGACGGAUGAUUAACACGUGGUUAACCUACCUAUAGGACUGGAAUACUUUCGGGAAACCGGACCUAAUAGCGGAAAAUAUAUUGACCCCAAUUCUUCCAUAGUCAGAGACGGUUUUGCUUUCACUUAUAGAUGGACCCGCGCCGCAUUAGCUAGUUGGUAAGGUAACGGCUUACCAAGGCUACGAUGCGUAGCCGACCUGAGAGGGUGAUCGGCCACACUGGAACUGAGACACGGUCCAGACUCCGACGGGAGGCAGCAGUAGGGAAUCUUCCGCAAUGGGCGAAAGCCUGACGGAGCAACGCCGCGUGAGUGAUGAAGGUCUUCGGAUCGUAAAACUCUGUUAUUAGGGAAGAACAAAUGUGUAAGUAACUAUGCACGUAUUGACGGUACCUAAUCAGAAAGCCACGGCUAACUACGUG